GAUGAACGCUAGCGGCAGGCUUAAUACAUGCAAGUCGAGGGGCAGCGCGGGUAGCAAUACCUGGCGGCGACCGGCAAACGGGUGCGGAACACGUACGCAACCUUCCCAUAACUGGUGAAUAGCCCUCCGAAAGGAGGAUUAAUACACCGUAACAUAACGAAGAGGCACCUUUUUGUUAUUAUAGUAGCAAUACGGUUUUGGAUGGGCGUUCGCCUGAUUAGGUAGUUGGCGGGGUAACGGCCCACCAAGCCUGCGAUCAGUAACUGGUGGGAGAGAACGACCAGUCACACGUGCACUGGGACACGGGCCCGACUCCGACGGGAGGCAGCAGUAAGGAAUAUUGGGCAAUGGACGAAAGUCUGAACCAGCCAUGCCGCGUGAAGGAUUAAGGCCCUCUGGGUUGUAAACUUCUUUUAUCUGGGACGAAAAAAGGGCAUUCUUGCGCACUUGACGGUACCAGAGGAAUAUGCACCGGCUAACUCCGUGCCAGCCGCCGCGGUAA
Molecule: ribosomal RNA, 502 nt
Filed under: uncultured bacterium
Lineage: Bacteria
Description: partial 16S ribosomal RNA
Rfam family: Bacterial small subunit ribosomal RNA
Source: RNAcentral